GGGGACCUUCGGGGCCCUUUAACCAAAGGUGGGUCCGCCCAUCCGACAUACAGGCGGGGCAACCCGCCGCUAGCUAACGGAAGACAGAAA
RNAcentral lists this non-coding RNA (90 nucleotides) under unclassified sequences. Its description in RNAcentral is "L2-Alphaproteobacteria ribosomal protein leader". It matches the Rfam family "L2-Alphaproteobacteria ribosomal protein leader". The record is from RNAcentral.